GAUGAACGCUGGCGGCGUGCUUAACACAUGCAAGUCGAACGGAACGCCAAGGAAAGAGUUUUCGGACAAUGGAAUUGGUUGUUUAGUGGCGGACGGGUGAGUAACGCGUGAGUAACCUGCCUUGGAGUGGGGAAUAACACAGUGAAAACUGUGCUAAUACCGCAUGACAUAUUGGUGUCGCAUGGCGCUGAUAUCAAAGAUUUAUCGCUCUGAGAUGGACUCGCGUCUGAUUAGAUAGUUGGUGGGGUAACGGCUCACCAAGGCGACGAUCAGUAGCCGGACUGAGAGGUUGAACGGCCACAUUGGGACUGAGAUACGGCCCAG
This 324-nucleotide ribosomal RNA is filed under the name uncultured bacterium. RNAcentral's name for it is "bacterial SSU rRNA". It matches the Rfam family "Bacterial small subunit ribosomal RNA", at positions 28 to 334 of the family's 1533-position model. The record is from RNAcentral.